AUGUGGAUCCGUGCUGCCAUAAACCGCAGGGCACGGUUUAUCCAGCUUAGUCAUCAUCCAAGGGAUGAUGCCUUCUCUGAUCUUGAGCACGUGCCGUUCAUCUCCUGCCACCUGAAACACCUGCACCUGUCUGGCACAAUGUUGCGAGACAAGACACUAAUGCAGCUCUCUUCUCAGUGUCCUUCUUUGGAAGUCCUGGAACUCAAGGAGUGCUUCCUGUAUGCCCCCCAGAUAUCAUCUGCCUCACUUAUUAGUUUGACCAUGGUUGAGUGCAGGAUCAUGGCUGACCUGUCCAUCGCUGCUCCAAGCCUUGUAUCACUGUGCUGUGUCAUACCAUACCACCGUGCUCCGUCGUUUGAAAACCUGGGGUCGCUGGCUACCGGCACCAUCAUGUUAAAUGACUCUUUCUUGCAUGAUAAGUUUGAAUACAAGUACAAAGAUCGCGAUGAAGAUGCAUUUGAAUGUGAUAGCGGCGACGACAGUGACUCUGAUGAUGACCACUGUGAUAGUGAUACUGAUACCGACUUGAGAACUUCUGACAUAUUGGAUGGUGCUAAAGUUUUAGGUGGCCAAAAUGUUAUCCGCAGCCUUUCAAAUGCUACAAGUUUAGACCUGAUAGCUGAUGCCGGAGAGUUGAUUCUGAAUAGGGAAUUGGAAAUAUGCCAAAUUUUUAGCAACCUGAAGGUGUUAACCCUUGGUGAAUGGUGUAUGGCUGCCGACUUCUAUCCGUUAGUUUCAUUCUUGCAGCAUGCUCCAAAUCUGGAGUCUCUUUUUCUUAAACUUAAAACGGAUCAUGAGGAAAUAGAAGACAAUAUCAGACUGGAGGGUAUAUCAUUUGCUUGCAAGAACCUUACAAUGGUCAAGAUAAAAUGUCCCAAGGAUGACGAAAGAGUUCCUGUGUUAACACAAAUGUUCAUGGCUAAUGGCAUACCCAUCGAAAAGAUAGAUGUCUGUCACCGUCAGACUCGCAAAACUUGUCAUCAAUCCUUGGCCCUAAGGCGUGGAUAUGCUGCUUUGUAG
This 1020-nucleotide ribosomal RNA is filed under the name Triticum aestivum (bread wheat). RNAcentral describes it as "partial small subunit ribosomal RNA". The record is from RNAcentral. Lineage: Eukaryota; Viridiplantae; Streptophyta; Magnoliopsida; Poales; Poaceae.